GUAGGUGGCAAGCGUUGUCCGGAAUUAUUGGGCGUAAAGCGCGCGCAGGCGGUCCUUUAAGUCUGAUGUGAAAGCCCACGGCUCAACCGUGGAGGGUCAUUGGAAACUGGGGGACUUGAGUACAGAAGAGGAAAGCGGAAUUCCAAGUGUAGCGGUGAAAUGCGUAGAGAUUUGGAGGAACACCAGUGGCGAAGGCGGCUUUCUGGUCUGUAACUGACGCUGAGGCGCGAAAGCGUGGGGAGCAAACAGGAUUAGAUACCCUGGUAGUCCACGCCGUAAACGAUGAGUGCUAAGUGUUAGGGGGUUUCCCGCCCCCCUUAGUGCUGCAGCUAACGCAUUAAGCGCCCCGCCUGGGGGAGUACGGCCGCAAGGCUG
This 375-nucleotide ribosomal RNA is filed under the name uncultured organism. RNAcentral's name for it is "partial 16S ribosomal RNA". It matches the Rfam family "Bacterial small subunit ribosomal RNA", at positions 527 to 896 of the family's 1533-position model. The record is from RNAcentral.